This 365-nucleotide ribosomal RNA is filed under the name uncultured eukaryote. Its description in RNAcentral is "partial 18S ribosomal RNA". It matches the Rfam family "Eukaryotic small subunit ribosomal RNA", at positions 592 to 976 of the family's 1831-position model. The record is from RNAcentral.
CAAUAGCGUAUAUUUAAGUUGUUGCAGUUAAAAAGCUCGUAGUCGGAUUUUGGCUGAGAACGAACGGUCCGCCGUUAGGUGUGCACUGUUUGGUCUCAGCUUCCUGGUGAGGAGGUGUGCUUCACGGCCACUUAGUCACCGUGGUUACUUUGAAAAAAUUAGAGUGUUCAAAGCGGGCUUACGCUUGAAUAUAUUAGCAUGGAAUAACACCAUAGGACUCCUGUCCUAUUUCGUUGGUCUCGGGACGGGAGUAAUGAUUAAGAGGAACAGUUGGGGGCAUUCGUACUCCGACGUUAGAGGUGAAAUUCUUGGAUCGUCGGAUGACGCACUACUGCGAAAGCAUUUGCCAAGAAUGUUUUCAUUAA